UUUUAUUCUCAGAUAACUGUUUAUGGCCUUUCUUGUCACUGCUUGUUCUUUGAAAGGACAACCAUUCUCAAGUGGCUUCAGACUUUCAUCUACUGCUGUUUGUCCCUCCUUAUGAUAAGAGCUAACUGCGAAAUUGUCUGUUUCUGGGAAAUAGAGAGUCAAAGUACGAUUACUGAUUUGUAGCCAUUGGUUAGCUCUCCUCAGAGGGAGGGACCAACAGCAGCAGAUAAGAACCUUAAGACACUGACAUGCACUCAGUGCGCAGUGAGUGAAGAACACACACCAAGGGGAAAAAAAUAGGACACAACAAUUGGCGACGAGGUGUGGAUUCGUUUACGAACGAACGGGAAGCAAGAGGUACCAGCAGCAACUAGCGAUAGCAACGUGGUCAAGCAAUGGCGGUUUUCAGCAGUCAGUCGGGUUUGUGCUUUAAUGAGGCUGACGAAAGCUUCACCACAUACGAAGAACGUUUUGCACAAUUUAUAGAAGCCAAUGGAAUAGAAGAAGGGAAACAACGGGCCGUUUUCCUAUCCGUGGUAGGUGCAAAGACUUUCUCGUUACUGACCGACUUGGUAGCACCGACGAAGCCAUCUGAAACCCCACUAGCAGACCUUUUGAAAGUAUUGAGAGAUUUUUAUGUAGGCCUACCGAAGAAAAAUGUCUUAAGUGAACGUAGUUUCCGUGCACGCAAGCAACUAAGUGGAGAGUCUCCAGCAGAAUAUGUAGCCGCGCUAGAGGGGCUAGCAGCCUCGUGCGAGUUUGGCCUAAAGCGAGAAGAACAAUUAAGGGAUCAGCUAGUUUAUGGCAUUAGUAGUGAGGAGCUACGUACUAAGCUGGUAAGUGCUGCACGCGGAGAACAGUUAAACUGGGCAAAAGUGGUGGACAUUGUGAAUAAUUUCAAGUGCACAACUACAAGUUUGAGAACGUCCCAGCAAACCCCGCUGAGAACAGACAGUGUGAGUAGUCACAAGGGUAAAGCGUGUGCUCGCGGGACCGCAGUGAAGGCACACGACAGAAAAGGAAUUCUGGGCGCCAGAGAAACAACGUUCAACAGACGCCUUGGAGAGGGGCAUGCAGCGGCAACAUACAAGGACAGAAAUCCCCGGUGCCAAGCCUGCAACAAGGAAGGACAUGUGGAGCGAGCGUGUAGGACUGCACCAGCGAGGGAGACAGCCAACCAGGGCGGCAGCUCCGGCAAACCUCUGGCAUUCAGGAAAAGUGCUACUGCAAAGCAAGAGACCCGCUACAUGGCGAGGGAACCAGCCAGCAUGGGACCACGUGCUACAGCGUUAAGGCACCAGUCAGCCCAUACUAAUAGAGAGUCUGCGACAAAGGGGCGACAUAGGUCAGGAGAUUCCAGAAGACCUCCAGGAAGCUCAUCCCAAACGUAUCUAGAGGAACCUAAGAAAGAUGACAGGAUCCAAAGAGCAAACAAAAUUAAAAAUUAUCAAGAAAUCUACACUCUGCUCUCACCUGGUGAUCUUGCAAUUUACAAACUUAACCUGAAGUCAACAGGAAAUGAUCAGUUCUGCAUAAAGGACUUUGGAAGAUCAGUAUUACGGAAGCCGAAUAAAACAAUCAUGCUUCUUGGUGCCACUGGAUCAGGCAAGACCACCCUCAUCAAUGGCAUGAUCAACUACAUCCUGGGAGUGGAGUGGGAGGAUGAAUGGAGAUUCAAACUGAUAGAUGAAGUGACCAGUAAGACACAAGCAGAGAGUCAGACUUCAGAGGUCACAGCCUAUCAGAUUCACCACAAUGAGGACUUUAAAGUUCCUUACUCUUUCACCAUCAUAGACACCCCAGGGUUUGGAGACACCAGAGGCAUUACACAAGACAAAGAGAUCACUGAGAAAAUCAGACAGUUCUUCACCCAACAAGGUGGCAUUACCAGCAUUGAUGCUGUGUGCUUUGUAGUGCAGUCAGCUUUAGCUCGACUUACACACACACAGAAAUACAUCUUUGAAGCUGUUCUUUCUAUCUUUGGUAAGGAUAUAGCAUCCAACAUCAUUUCUAUGAUCACCUUUGCUGAUGGACAGACACCCCCAGUGUUGGAAGCCAUCGGAGCUGCUGAGAUCCCAUGUGCCACAAAAGAAGAUGGGUCCCUUCUUCAUUUCAAAUUCAACAACUCUGCCCUUUAUGCCCCAAAUAAACAAGCAGAUGAUGAGGAAGGCAGUUUUGACCAGAUGUUCUGGAAAAUGGGAGAAGGAAGCAUGAAGAGAUUCUUCAACAAUUUAAACACAAUGGAGACCCAGAGCCUGCUGCUGACUAAAGAAGUGCUCGCUGAGCGCAGACAGCUGGAGGCCACUGUAGCAGGAGUGCAGCCACUGAUCCAAAUGGGCCUCGCAAAACUUAAUGAAAUACAAGAAACAAGAGAAGCACUGCACCAGCAUCAGAGUGCCAUUGAUGCAAACAAGGAUUUCACAUAUGAGGUUGAAAUUUCAGUGCCAAUUAAGGUGGAGUUACCACUAAGAGUCCAUGUAACCAACUGCCUUACAUGCAACUACACCUGCCAUGAACACUGUGGUUACGCAAAUGAUG
Anguilla rostrata (American eel) is the source of this 2538-nucleotide long non-coding RNA. RefSeq lists it as uncharacterized. The record is from RefSeq and is a predicted model, not a curated record. The transcript is spliced from 4 exons. NCBI's taxonomy places the organism in Eukaryota, Metazoa, Chordata, Actinopteri, Anguilliformes, Anguillidae.